This 1321-nucleotide ribosomal RNA is filed under the name Staphylococcus saprophyticus. RNAcentral describes it as "bacterial SSU rRNA". It matches the Rfam family "Bacterial small subunit ribosomal RNA", at positions 48 to 1350 of the family's 1533-position model. Lineage: Bacteria; Bacillati; Bacillota; Bacilli; Caryophanales; Staphylococcaceae. The record is from RNAcentral.
CUAAUACAUGCAAGUCGAGCGAACAGAUAAGGAGCUUGCUCCUUUGACGUUAGCGGCGGACGGGUGAGUAACACGUGGGUAACCUACCUAUAAGACUGGGAUAACUUCGGGAAACCGGAGCUAAUACCGGAUAACAUUUGGAACCGCAUGGUUCUAAAGUGAAAGAUGGUUUUGCUAUCACUUAUAAAUGGACCCGCGCCGUAUUAGCUAGUUGGUAAGGUAACGGCUUACCAAGGCGACGAUACGUAGCCGACCUGAGAGGGUGAUCGGCCACACUGGAACUGAGACACGGUCCAGACUCCUACGGGAGGCAGCAGUAGGGAAUCUUCCGCAAUGGGCGAAAGCCUGACGGAGCAACGCCGCGUGAGUGAUGAAGGGUUUCGGCUCGUAAAACUCUGUUAUUAGGGAAGAACAAAUGUGUAAGUAACUGUGCACGUCUUGACGGUACCUAAUCAGAAAGCCACGGCUAACUACGUGCCAGCAGCCGCGGUAAUACGUAGGUGGCAAGCGUUAUCCGGAAUUAUUGGGCGUAAAGCGCGCGUAGGCGGUUUCUUAAGUCUGAUGUGAAAGCCCACGGCUCAACCGUGGAGGGUCAUUGGAAACUGGGAAACUUGAGUGCAGAAGAGGAAAGUGGAAUUCCAUGUGUAGCGGUGAAAUGCGCAGAGAUAUGGAGGAACACCAGUGGCGAAGGCGACUUUCUGGUCUGUAACUGACGCUGAUGUGCGAAAGCGUGGGGAUCAAACAGGAUUAGAUACCCUGGUAGUCCACGCCGUAAACGAUGAGUGCUAAGUGUUAGGGGGUUUCCGCCCCUUAGUGCUGCAGCUAACGCAUUAAGCACUCCGCCUGGGGAGUACGACCGCAAGGUUGAAACUCAAAGGAAUUGACGGGGACCCGCACAAGCGGUGGAGCAUGUGGUUUAAUUCGAAGCAACGCGAAGAACCUUACCAAAUCUUGACAUCCUUUGAAAACUCUAGAGAUAGAGCUUUCCCCUUCGGGGGACAAAGUGACAGGUGGUGCAUGGUUGUCGUCAGCUCGUGUCGUGAGAUGUUGGGUUAAGUCCCGCAACGAGCGCAACCCUUAAGCUUAGUUGCCAUCAUUAAGUUGGGCACUCUAGGUUGACUGCCGGUGACAAACCGAAGGAAGGUGGGGAUGACGUCAAAUCAUCAUGCCCCUUAUGAUUUGGGCUACACACGUCCUACAAUGGACAAUACAAAGGGCAGCUAAACCGCGAGGUCAUGCAAAUCCCAUAAAGUUGUUCUCAGUUCGGAUUGUAGUCUGCAACUCGACUACAUGAAGCUGGAAUCGCUAGUAAUCGUAGAUC